RNAcentral lists this ribosomal RNA (252 nucleotides) under uncultured bacterium. RNAcentral's name for it is "partial 16S ribosomal RNA". It matches the Rfam family "Bacterial small subunit ribosomal RNA", at positions 524 to 776 of the family's 1533-position model. The record is from RNAcentral.
UACGGAGGGUGCAAGCGUUAAUCGGAAUUACUGGGCGUAAAGCGCACGCAGGCGGUUUGUUAAGUCAGAUGUGAAAUCCCCGAGCUUAACUUGGGAACUGCAUUUGAAACUGGCAAGCUAGAGUCUUGUAGAGGGGGGUAGAAUUCCAGGUGUAGCGGUGAAAUGCGUAGAGAUCUGGAGGAAUACCGGUGGCGAAGGCGGCCCCCUGGACAAAGACUGACGCUCAGUGCGAAAGCGUGGGGAGCAAACGGG